AGACCGAUAGCGAACAAGUAGAGUGAUCGAAAGGUUAAAAGCACCUUGAAAAGGGAGUUAAAUAGCACGUGAAAUUGUUGAAAGGGAAGCGCUUGCAGCCAGACUCGAGCGCGGGGGCUCAGCGGGUAUUGUUAUGCCCGUGCACUCCCCCGCGCCCGGGCCAGCAUCAGUUUUGGCGGCCGGUCAAAGGCCCUUGGAAUGUAUCGUCCUCCGGGACGUCUUAUAGCCAAGGGUGCAAUGCGGCCAGCCGGGACUGAGGAACGCGCUUCGGCACGGAUGCUGGCGUAAUGGCUGUAAGCGGCCCGUCUUGAAACACGGACCAAG
Molecule: ribosomal RNA, 324 nt
Filed under: Malbranchea sp. SW079
Lineage: Eukaryota; Fungi; Ascomycota; Eurotiomycetes; Onygenales; Malbrancheaceae
Description: LSU rRNA
Rfam family: Eukaryotic large subunit ribosomal RNA
Source: RNAcentral